GAUCCUGCGCCUCCGGGACCCGCCGGGAGGAACGACAGCGCCCCGGGGCUGCCCGGCCCUGCCUGCGGGACACCUCGAACUCGCGGGGCGGCUGGGGCUGUAGUCAUUGUGACGCGCACCCGCCGCUCAGGCCCGCGUCCGCACCGGAGGCUUAGCGCGGGGGUGAGGACAGGUGUGAGCUGAGCGCCACGCCCAAGGGGGAGCGAGGAGGGACGCUUGGGUCCUAGCUGCGCGCGGGUGAUUCCAGCCUGGAUUACGGAAGAGGCACACCCACUGGGCCGCCACCCCGGCGGGAGAUCAGUGCCGACAGCCCCGCGGCCUCCCCAAACUCCAAGGGUUUGGAUGCGGCGGGUUGACAGGUUAGCUUGAAGCCCCCUUGCAGAGUCUCGUGGGGCUUUCGCUUUACUAAAUGUUAACUACUGGAGGCAUCGCUAACUCUGAGAUACAGGAAGACCUCACCGUAAGAAGUAAAAGUUGGGCUGCGCGCUAAGCGCUUUCAUUUAGCCUCUACACAUUUCUCUCAGGAUGUCUAUACAUUUUUGAAGGGACACCCUAUAUAAUCAGACACCCUUUUCAAGAUAUUGAACUUCAACCACCUACCAGCUGAAAGAGUGCUCUGCAAAAAGAACCUUAUACAAACUUUAUGAACGUAAAACCAACUAGAUUCUUCAUCAGCAAAACAAGAAUUCAAUAUUGAAGUACUCAUUCCUCAUAAAUAAACGAGUAUGGACAGGGUUUGUAGGUCAAUACUGUUUUGUUCAGCAGCUUGAAAUUAAGCUGAACAUCAGCAUAAAGAAAAAUUGCUGGGCUGGGUUGUUCUAAUAAUUACAAUUAGAAAUAAACAUAAAGCUGCCUAUAAAUCUCAAGAAUUGUCCCUUUGCCGAAACCGGUUUGGCUCAGUGGAUAGAGCGUCGGCCUGCGGACUGAAGGGUCCCAGG
This is a long non-coding RNA of Myotis lucifugus (little brown bat), 938 nucleotides long. RefSeq lists it as uncharacterized. The record is from RefSeq and is a predicted model, not a curated record. Lineage: Eukaryota; Metazoa; Chordata; Mammalia; Chiroptera; Vespertilionidae. The transcript is spliced from 3 exons.